AAGUCGUAACAAGGUUUCCGUAGGUGAACCUGCGGAAGGAUCAUUACCAAAUCCAAAUACCCAACCCCAUGUGAACUAUUGUUUGUUGUCCUUUGGGGGAAUUGAGAAAAACAAAAGGCUUCUUUGUUUUCAAAAAAGUUCAUGUUCUUUUCGUUCCCCCAACAGAAUCCGGCACUCUAUGUGCUUGUGAUUCUUGAUAAACCACUUUUUUUUGUUUUGGAAUGAUUUUUAUUAAAACAUUUUUAAUAAAAGACAACUUUUAACGGUGGAUCUCUUGGCUCGU
This 283-nucleotide unclassified non-coding RNA is filed under the name fungal sp. Its description in RNAcentral is "partial internal transcribed spacer region". The stretch from base 1 to 46 matches the Rfam family "Eukaryotic small subunit ribosomal RNA", at positions 1786 to 1831 of the family's 1831-position model. Lineage: Eukaryota; Fungi. The record is from RNAcentral.